UGAAACUGGGGUUCUUGAGGGCAGGAGAGGAAAGCAGAAUUCCUGGUGUAGCGGUGAAAUGCGUAGAAAUCAGGAGGAAUACCAGUGGCGAAGGCGGCUUUCUGGACUGCCCCUGACGCUG
This 121-nucleotide ribosomal RNA is filed under the name uncultured bacterium. RNAcentral's name for it is "partial 16S ribosomal RNA". It matches the Rfam family "Bacterial small subunit ribosomal RNA", at positions 628 to 748 of the family's 1533-position model. The record is from RNAcentral.